AUUGAACGCUGGCGGCAGGCUUAACACAUGCAAGUCGAGCGGAGCGAGGGUGCUUGCACCUUAGCUUAGCGGCGGACGGGUGAGUAAUGCUUAGGAAUCUGCCUAUUAGUGGGGGACAGCAUUCCGAAAGGAAUGCUAAUACCGCAUACGCCCUACGGGGGAAAGCAGGGGAUCUUCGGAUCUUGCGCUAAUAGAUGAGCCUAAGUCGGAUUAGCUAGUUGGUGGGGUAAAGGCCUACCAAGGCGACGAUCUGUAGCGGGUCUGAGAGGAUGAUCCGCCACACUGGGACUGAGACACGGCCCAGACUCCUACGGGAGGCAGCAGUGGGGAAUAUUGGACAAUGGGCGGAAGCCUGAUCCAGCCAUGCCGCGUGUGUGAAGAAGGCCUUUUGGUUGUAAAGCACUUUAAGCGAGGAGGAGGCUACUUAGAUUAAUACUCUGGGAUAGUGGACGUUACUCGCAGAAUAAGCACCGGCUAACUCUGUGCCAGCCGCCGCCGUAA
Molecule: ribosomal RNA, 501 nt
Filed under: uncultured bacterium
Lineage: Bacteria
Description: partial 16S ribosomal RNA
Rfam family: Bacterial small subunit ribosomal RNA
Source: RNAcentral